CGGGACGGGUGAGUAACGCGUGGGUAACCUGCCUCAUACAGGGGGAUAACAGUUAGAAAUGACUGCUAAUACCGCAUAAGACCACAGCACCGCAUGGUGCGGGGGUAAGAACUCCGGUGGUAUGAGAUGGACCCGCGUCUGAUUAGCUAGUUGGUAAGGUAACGGCUUACCAAGGCGACGAUCAGUAGCCGACCUGAGAGGGUGACCGGCCACAUUGGGACUGAGACACGGCCCAA
This 236-nucleotide ribosomal RNA is filed under the name uncultured bacterium. Its description in RNAcentral is "partial 16S ribosomal RNA". It matches the Rfam family "Bacterial small subunit ribosomal RNA", at positions 100 to 334 of the family's 1533-position model. The record is from RNAcentral.